GGGAGAGCUGGUGCGAGAUCGUGGGUAAAAAUUAGGGGGGAGGCGUUAUGCGGGUUUAAUGGGGGUAAAGCGAACGCAGGCGGGCGCGUAAGUCGGAGGUGAAAGCUCCUGGCUCAACUGGGAGAGGUCGUUCGGAACUGCGCGGCUUGAGGUUGGAAGAGGAGAGCGGAAUUCCCGGUGUAGUGGUGGAAUGCGUAGAUAUCGGGAGGAACACCAGUGGCGAAAGUGGCUCUCUGGUCCACACCUGACGCUCAGGUGCGAAAGCGUGGGUAGCGAACGGGAUUAGAUACCCCAGUAGUC
Molecule: ribosomal RNA, 300 nt
Filed under: uncultured Staphylothermus sp.
Lineage: Archaea; Thermoproteati; Thermoproteota; Thermoprotei; Desulfurococcales; Desulfurococcaceae
Description: bacterial SSU rRNA
Rfam family: Bacterial small subunit ribosomal RNA (bases 52-300)
Source: RNAcentral